UUGUAUCUAUGAAACUGGAGCAUAAUGUCUACUGCUAAGGUUUCCACUACAGAUGCAAGAAAAAGAAGGUUCUCCCCCUUUCUGUCUGUUUGGAUGUGGUGGCCAAGAUCCAAUGGGGGAAUACGGGA
This 128-nucleotide small nucleolar RNA is filed under the name Dasypus novemcinctus (nine-banded armadillo). RNAcentral's name for it is "Small nucleolar RNA SNORA31 (ENSDNOG00000030010.1)". Lineage: Eukaryota; Metazoa; Chordata; Mammalia; Cingulata; Dasypodidae. The record is from RNAcentral.